UCCGCUAGUAGUGGCGAGCGAACGCGGACCAGGCCAGUGGCUUUUGUGAAUAAAGUGGAACGAGUUGGAAAACUUGACCGAAGUGGGUGAUAGUCCCGUACACGUAGAAUAGCAGAAGUCCUUGAGUAGGGCGGGACACGUGAAAUCCUGUCUGAACAUGGGUCGACCACGAUCCAAGCCUAAGUACUCGUGCAUGACCGAUAGCGAACCAGUACCGUGAGGGAAAGGUGAAAAGCACCCCGACGAGGGGAGUGAAACAGUACCUGAAACCGGAUGCCUACAAACAGUUGGAGCCCAAGAUUUGUUCUGGGUGACAGCGUACCUUUUGUAUAAUGGGUCAGCGACUUAGUGUAUCGAGCAAGCUUAAGCCGGUAGGUGUAGGCGCAGCGAAAGCGAGUCUGAACAGGGCGUUCAGUUCGAUGCAUUAGACCCGAAACCAAGUGAUCUAGCCAUGAGCAGGUUGAAGGUACGGUAACACGUACUGGAGGACCGAACCCAUAUCUGUUGCAAUAGAUCGGGAUGACUUGUGGCUAGGGGUGAAAGGCCAAUCAAACUUGGAGAUAGCUGGUUCUCCGCGAAAUCUAUUUAGGUAGAGCGUCGACCGAAUACCCCCGGGGGUAGAGCACUGGAUGGGCUAUGGGGACUCACCGUCUUACUGAUCCUAACCAAACUCCGAAUACCGGGGAGUACUAGUCGGCAGACACACGGCGGGUGCUAACGUCCGUCGUGGAGAGGGCAACAACCCUGACCACCAUCUAAGGUCCCUAAGUUAUGGCUAAGUGGGAAAGGAUGUGAGGAUCCCAAAACAACCAGGAUGUUGGCUUAGAAGCAGCCAUCAUUUAAAGAAAGCGUAACAGCUCACUGGUCUAAAUAAGGGUCUUUGCGCCGAAAAUGUACCGGGGCUCAAGCCAUACACCGAAGCUGUGGAUGCACGUAUGUGCGUGGUAGCGGAGCGUUCCGUAAGCCUGUGAAGGGACAGUCGUGAGACAUCCUGGAGGUAUCGGAAGUGAGGAAUGCUGACAUGAGUAACGAUAAAGGGAGUGAGAGACUCCCUCGCCGAAAGUCCAAGGGUUCCUGCUUAAAGUUAAUCUGAGCAGGGUUAGCCGGCCCCUAAGGCGAGGCCGAAAGGCGUAGUCGAUGGGAACCACGUUAAUAUUCGUGGGCCUGCAGGUAGUGACGGAUCGCGUGUGUUGUGAGGUCUUAUUGGAUUGAUCUUGCAGCGAAGCGGUUCCAGGAAAUAGCUCCUGCAUAUAGACCGUACCCUAAACCGACACUGGUGGACUGGUAGAGAAUACCAAGGCGCUUGAGAGAACUGCGUUGAAGGAACUCGGCAAAAUGCACGCGUAACUUCGGAAGAAGCGUGACCCUCAUUUGGGCAACCAGAUGGGGGUGGCACAGACCAGGGGGUAGCGACUGUUUACCAAAAACACAGGGCUCUGCGAAGUCGCAAGACGACGUAUAGGGUCUGACGCCUGCCCGGUGCUGGAAGGUUAAGAGGAGAUGUGCAAGCAUUGAAUUGAAGCCCCAGUAAACGGCGGCCGUAACUAUAACGGUCCUAAGGUAGCGAAAUUCCUUGUCGGGUAAGUUCCGACCUGCACGAAUGGCGUAACGACUUCCCCGCUGUCUCCAACGCAGACUCAGUGAAAUUGAAUUCCCCGUGAAGAUGCGGGGUUCCUGCGGUUAGACGGAAAGACCCCGUGCACCUUUACUAUAGCUUUACACUGGCAUUCGUGACGACAUGUGUAGGAUAGGUGGUAGACUUUGAAGCAGGGGCGCCAGCCUUUGUGGAGUCAUCCUUGAAAUACCACCCUUGUUUUUAUGGAUGUCUAACUGCGGCCCGUUAUCCGGGUCCAGGACCGUGUAUGGUGGGUAGUUUGACUGGGGCGGUCGCCUCCUAAAGAGUAACGGAGGCGCGCGAUGGUAGGCUCAGAACGGUCGGAAAUCGUUCGUCGAGUGCAAUGGCAUAAGCCUGCCUGACUGCAAGACUGACAAGUCGAGCAGAGACGAAAGUCGGUCAUAGUGAUCCGGUGGUCCCGCGUGGAAGGGCCAUCGCUCAACGGAUAAAAGGUACGCCGGGGAUAACAGGCUGAUGACCCCCAAGAGUCCAUAUCGACGGGGUUGUUUGGCACCUCGAUGUCGACUCAUCGCAUCCUGGGGCUGGAGCAGGUCCCAAGGGUAUGGCUGUUCGCCAUUUAAAGCGGUACGUGAGUUGGGUUCAGAACGUCGUGAGACAGUUCGGUCCCUAUCUGCCGUGGGUGUAGGAAUAUUGAAAGGAUCUGUCCCUAGUACGAGAGGACCGGGAUGGACGUAUCUCUGGUGGACCUGUUGUCGUGCCAACGGCAUAGCAGGGUAGCUAUAUACGGACUAGAUAACCGCUGAAGGCAUCUAAGCGGGAAACUAACCUUAAAACGAGUAUUCCCUAUCAGAGCCGUGGAAGACCACCACGUUGAUAGGCCGGGUGUGGAAGUGCGGCAACGCAUGCAGCUUACCGGUACUAAUAGCUCGAUCGACUUGAUCACUCCCAUUU
RNAcentral lists this ribosomal RNA (2527 nucleotides) under Ochrobactrum sp. MC-1LL. RNAcentral's name for it is "partial 23S ribosomal RNA". It matches the Rfam family "Bacterial large subunit ribosomal RNA". The record is from RNAcentral. Lineage: Bacteria; Pseudomonadati; Pseudomonadota; Alphaproteobacteria; Hyphomicrobiales; Brucellaceae.